CAGUAACGCGACAUUCCCCCAGCCCCAAACGAACAAACAGAAGGAGAAGAAAACCAGAGAGAGCUACUAGGAGCUUUGAGGAUCAUGGGACAGGGAAUUUUGUUCUAUCCUCGCGCAUCUUGAAGUGAUUUGUCCUCGAGCGCAUCUACAAACAGGCUCACGUCCGCGAGCUCACCAAGGCACGAGCCAGAAUGUGAACAAGUAAGCACGGCGCCGUGUUUCAGCUUCAGUCAUAAUUAAAUUAAUAAAAGUUUUACACGUUAGAGUGCGUUAACCGCGAAGGAGCAGAGAUGAAUUUCAAUGCAGAUGACUUAGGCUCCUUCACUCAUUUACUGUUUUUCAAGGUAGAAUAUUACAGCAGGUCUAUAAGAUAUUGUGUGAAGUGGAAAGGAUCCAUGUGUCCCCAACGCUCCAACAGACAGCCUAGGGCCUCCAAGAAGAACACCAAGACAAGCCCCGCUCCAGAGGAAGAAGUUAUCCAGCGUCAGCUGAGAGGUCGAAGGCGGAGGGGGAAAGGCAGUACUGGUGACAGCCUCUGUAUCGCAGGUGAGGGAACAGGGUGCGACAUCCUCGACAUCAUUACCACUCAGGAAGAGAAGCAUGUUGGUGAAGAAGAUGGGGGAAAGGCGGUAGAGAUAGCUCAUAAAGAACUGGACGACUUGGAUGAAGACCGAGUCUCUGUUUGCAGCAGCACAGCGUCUGGUCCCUCUUUUUAUCACUCCACCUACAGAAAAGCGAGGCCUUCCCAGAACCUGUGCUUGGCCUGUCAGAAGCUCUACCAGAAAGCAAAGAAGAUAAAAACAUCAAUCAUAAACAAACUGCUGGACAAUGAUCCUAUGUCCCCGACAUGUGACCAGUGGGUCCUUAUCAAAAAGCGGACAUCCCAAAGGUGGCCUGAUGCAAGAGGGAAGCUUUUGAGCCACAUAAAGAAGAUAAAGAAGGCCUGUGAAAAACAAAGUGAGCAGCGUGUGGAAGAAUCUGCCGCCUGUUCAAGGCCGCACACUUUCCUCCACAGGAACCUCAGACGAUGUGUGAAAGCGAAAAAGGAGAGGAAGAAGAAUAAGAACAGGAGGAAGAGACAGAGAGACGGUUCGCAGGGUACUCGUGUCGCUAAGCAGCAGCGUCUCCACACCAACACUCCCAUCAAGAUGACCUGUGUAGAGCCAAACAGCCGCCGAAAAAGCAGCAGUCAGGGGAACAGAGGUGUGAUUGCUGAGGCGAUUCCCUCGUCUGUGACACAGGAAGCCACCACACCAAGCAAGAGAACACCAAAGCAGACGGGUAGAUUCAGAAACUUGCUGGCUGAGCUACGGAGCAAGAGCAGCAUGAUUGUAAGAGAAACACACUAGUGAGGAGGCAGGAUUCGAGUGCUAAUCGCUUUUAGUCGUGAUGUUCUGCUGGUCUUCAGUAUUGUUACCUAUUCGGUGGCCUAUGCCUAGAGUUACUUGACAAAGUGCCGUCGCAGUUCUGUGCAUGUUUUGUUUGUGAUCCUUUAAAAUUAAUAAUAAUAAUAUUUAUUUAAUGUUCCUUACAACUGGACAGCUGUGAAUAAAUGUUUAUGUUGAUCUCAUGGCAUGCCUUUUUUUUUUUAAAAAUACCGACAUAAGUUCACUCACUCGCAUUCAAAAACACUCGUGCAUUUACAGCUCUUCACAAAAUCAAGUACCUUUCACCUGUAUGCAAACACUUGCUUAUUUUCAUUUGCGUUUGCAGCAAGAUGGUCACUGUUCAUAGUGUCCACAGCAUGUACACCACUUCCUGCUAGCGCUCCAGCUUCUUCAGUGAGCUGCAUUUCAGGGAUGUUAAAGUUGCACAGCAUCAGAGCUUUGACUCGUUAUAUAAUGUGAAGAUAUCAGUCCUCACUCCCAAGUGUGGUGUCCACAACUAGGUGAUAAUGGGAGGAGAGAGGGAUUUCACAGCUUCAGUGUCUGAGUGGGCUGUUGUUGGACAUUAUUUUUUCACAAAUGCAUCCAAAGACAAAAAAAGGUGGCAAAAUAUUUGAAACUAUAUCUUUCCUAAUCCUACAAAACAAAACAGUCAAAAAAGAAAAUCAGUGAGCUAUAAAUAUUAUUUUAUAUGCCAUGGUGUAUACUAGUUAUUCCUAAAUGCUGUCAUGUUGACUCACUGUGUUUGUACUUUGUACAAACUACAAACUUACAUUAAAGGAAACCCAUCUGCACCAUUGCAAAAAUUGAGAGGUUGAUGCAUCAGAGCUUAUAAGAGGGAGAUACACAAUUAAUUGCCAAUGCAGGCAACCCACUGUCUAAACAGGAUAUCACCAGGCCUACCUGUCUUUUGGCUUUGGGAAUGUGAAUGGCCUCCGUCCAUCAUCAGUCACUUGAAGUUGUCUUAUGGUAAAAUGUUGCCAGGCAGGCUCAAGAUGCACUUUCAAACCAAACAGCCUUUCUGAGAGAAACCCUAACCCUCAAAAGAGUGCUGGAUCUGAAACAGAGGCACUUCCGUUUGAAGGUGUGUAAUAAGGCGGUGGAGAUGAGGUGUAUGAUAGUGGUGUACACAGGUAUGAUGGAAAGUUAGGUGUGCGUUUGAUUUAUUUGGGAAUGUGUGACAAACUCGGACAGACUGAAGUCCCAAUUACUUUAGGGAAGAAAGGUAAAUCCAUCCAUUCUUUUUCUCAACGCAGUGGAGAUGGAGCCCACGUAGCAGGCUGUUUGCAGACGCUUAUUCUAACAGCCCACAUGGUGGCGCCACAUAACCAGCACUCACAGACUGACUCUACAGCUCUGUGUGUAGUAAAACAAAAUAAACACAAAUGUACAAAAAGCACAUAGAUACAGGGUUAGAGCUCAUGGGGAGCAUGGGUAAUGUGGUAUGUGACAUAAAUACAAGCGGUUUGCACUGGACUCGCUUGGGCCAGUCUCACUCUGCACAGCAGGACAGGUACAGGUGUAAUCAAUAACAUUAAUGAUCAUGAAGCAUCCCAGAGAGCCGGCAUGCACAAUAAGCAGGGUCGGUCCUGCAGCUCAGAGUAAAGCAACUUUAACCUGAUACCAUCAUUUUCACCUGUGUGAAUCAUCAGCUGUUCAAGUGUUUACACUGCAGGAUCACAGUCGCAGUUACUGCAGGACCUGAUUAUCACAAACCAGAGGUCUCAGGGCUAAAACAAUUCACAGUGCGCGCACACACUGCGGUAUCCUGUGAUAGAUAUCAGCACCUGACACCUC
RNA transcript from Haplochromis burtoni (Burton's mouthbrooder), 3182 nucleotides. It is a transcript of the gene named C-X-C chemokine receptor type 4, with no coding region annotated. The transcript is spliced from 7 exons. NCBI's taxonomy places the organism in Eukaryota, Metazoa, Chordata, Actinopteri, Cichliformes, Cichlidae. The record is from RefSeq and is a predicted model, not a curated record.